CAAUGUACUCUACUUGUCUUCAACCUUUUAUUGACACCUAUAAACUAGCUGCCUCAAAUCCAGCGAACGGGGGACGCUGUCACGCUGAAGACUAUUGCCAGAUUGCUUGCUUGCGCGGCUGCCAACCAACAACACACCCGUAAAAAGCCCGAGCAUAUGUUGGGCUCCAAAUGCAUAGUGGUGGGCUCCCCCUUAUUUUGUGGGCCCAUUUCGUAACUCGGAUCGAGAGGCCCAUUUGAACACUGCUCGUGUGCCAGCCCAAAAUGGAUUCUUUUUGGGGCAGGUCCGCUGUCCUCUUCGAGACUUCAAGGAUAAGGGCUUCCCCCAAUAUAUUCGCGUUUCGUGAAAUCUACGACGCAGAUUUUACCUAAACACAAGGACACCGUUGUAUAAAAUGGAUAGGAGAAGAACGGCCACUAGAGGAUUGAGAUAUUUACCGACCCCCAUGCGUGCCACGGCAAUUUUCCAGCAGCUCCUUGCAUUGGGUUGGGUCCUCCUUGUUGACAGCAGCUCCAGUUCAUCAUCAUCAUCACUGGCACUUGUCAAUAAGUAAAUUGACGCACGCGGAUCACGACCUCGAUCCAUGGCC
Molecule: long non-coding RNA, 589 nt
Filed under: Setaria italica (foxtail millet)
Lineage: Eukaryota; Viridiplantae; Streptophyta; Magnoliopsida; Poales; Poaceae
Description: long non-coding RNA (SITA_LNC002681)
Source: RNAcentral